GAUGAACGCUGGCGGCGUGCCUAAUACAUGCAAGUCGAGCGAACUGACGAGGAGCUUGCUCCUCUGACGUUAGCGGCGGACGGGUGAGUAACACGUGGAUAACCUACCUAUAAGACUGGGAUAACUUCGGGAAACCGGAGCUAAUACCGGAUAAUAUAUUGAACCGCAUGGUUCAAUAGUGAAAGACGGUUUUGCUGUCACUUAUAGAUGGAUCCGCGCCGCAUUAGCUAGUUGGUAAGGUAACGGCUUACCAAGGCAACGAUGCGUAGCCGACCUGAGAGGGUGAUCGGCCACACUGGAACUGAGACACGGUCCAGACUCCUACGGGAGGCAGCAGUAGGGAAUCUUCCGCAAUGGGCGAAAGCCUGACGGAGCAACGCCGCGUGAGUGAUGAAGGUCUUCGGAUCGUAAAACUCUGUUAUUAGGGAAGAACAAAUGUGUAAGUAACUAUGCACGUCUUGACGGUACCUAAUCAGAAAGCCACGGCUAACUACGU
RNAcentral lists this ribosomal RNA (496 nucleotides) under uncultured bacterium. Its description in RNAcentral is "partial 16S ribosomal RNA". It matches the Rfam family "Bacterial small subunit ribosomal RNA", at positions 28 to 506 of the family's 1533-position model. The record is from RNAcentral.